RNAcentral lists this ribosomal RNA (599 nucleotides) under uncultured Candidatus Saccharibacteria bacterium. RNAcentral describes it as "bacterial SSU rRNA". It matches the Rfam family "Bacterial small subunit ribosomal RNA", at positions 777 to 1389 of the family's 1533-position model. Lineage: Bacteria; Candidatus Saccharimonadota. The record is from RNAcentral.
AUUAGAUACCCUGGUAGUCCACGCCGUAAACUAUGGAUGCUAGCUGUUAUUCGUAUCGACCCGAGUAGUAGCGAAGCUAACGCGUUAAGCAUCCCGCCUGUGGAGUACGGUCGCAAGACUAAAACAUAAAGGAAUUGACGGGGACCCGCACAAGCGGUGGAGCGUGUUGUUUAAUUCGAUGGUAAGCGAAGAACCUUACCCAGACUUGACAUCCUUGGAAGCACUGCGAAAGCAGAGUGUGCCUCCGGGAACCAAGUGACAGGUGUUGCAUGGCCGUCGUCAGCUCGUGUCGUGAGAUGUUUGGUUAAGUCCAUCAACGAGCGCAACCCUUGUGGCUAGUUGAAUUUUUCUAGUCAGACUGCCCUGGUAACAGGGAGGAAGGAGGGGAUGAUGUCAGGUCAGUAUUACCCUUACGUCUGGGGCUACAAACACGCUACAAUGGCCGGUACAAAGGGCUGCCAAGUCGCGAGACGGAGCAAAUCCCAUCAAAACCGGUCCCAGUUCGGAUUGCAGGCUGAAACUCGCCUGCAUGAAGUCGGAAUCGCUAGUAACGGUAGGUCAGCACACUACCGUGAAUACGUUCCCGGGUCUUGUACACA